UGGGGAAUAUUGCACAAUGGGCGCAAGCCUGAUGCAGCCAUGCCGCGUGUGUGAAGAAGGCCUUCGGGUUGUAAAGCACUUUCAGCGGGGAGGAAGGCGUUAAGGUUAAUAACCUUGGCGAUUGACGUUACCGCAGAAGAAGCACCGGCCAACCCCGUGCCAGCAGCCGCGGUAAUACGGAGGGUGCAAGCGUUAAUCGGAAUUACUGGGCGUAAAGCGCACGCAGGCGGUCUGUCAAGUCGGAUGUGAAAUCCCCGGGCUCAACCUGGGAACUGCAUUCGAAACUGGCAGGCUAGAGUCUCGUAGAGGGGGGUAGAAUUCCAGGUGUAGCGGUGAAAUGCGUAGAGAUCUGGAGGAAUACCGGUGGCGAAGGCGGCCCCCUGGACAAAGACUGACGCUCAGGUGCGAAAGCGUGGGGAGCAAACAGG
Molecule: ribosomal RNA, 428 nt
Filed under: Chloroflexota bacterium
Lineage: Bacteria; Bacillati; Chloroflexota
Description: Chloroflexi bacterium partial 16S ribosomal RNA
Rfam family: Bacterial small subunit ribosomal RNA
Source: RNAcentral